This 468-nucleotide ribosomal RNA is filed under the name uncultured bacterium. RNAcentral describes it as "partial 16S ribosomal RNA". It matches the Rfam family "Bacterial small subunit ribosomal RNA", at positions 28 to 507 of the family's 1533-position model. The record is from RNAcentral.
GACGAACGCUGGCGGCGUGCUUAACACAUGCAAGUCGAACGGAAAGGCCCUGCUUUUGUGGGGUGCUCGAGUGGCGAACGGGUGAGUAACACGUGAGUAACCUGCCCUUGACUUUGGGAUAACUUCAGGAAACUGGGGCUAAUACCGGAUAGGAGCUCCUGCUGCAUGGUGGGGGUUGGAAAGUUUCGGCGGUUGGGGAUGGACUCGCGGCUUAUCAGCUUGUUGGUGGGGUAGUGGCUUACCAAGGCUUUGACGGGUAGCCGGCCUGAGAGGGUGACCGGCCACAUUGGGACUGCGAUACGGCCCAGACGCCUACGGGAGGCAGCAGUGGGGAAUAUUGCACAGUGGGCGGAAGCCUGAUGCAGCAACGCCGCGUGCGGGAUGACGGCCUUCGGGUUGUAAACCGCUUUCGCCUGUGACGAAGCGUGAGUGACGGUAAUGGGUAAAGAAGCACCGGCUAACUACGUG